GUGUAGCUCAGGGGUAGAGCGAUACCUUGCAAGGUAUCGCUCGAGGGUUCGAAGCCCAUCACUACACG
Molecule: transfer RNA, 68 nt
Filed under: Alphaproteobacteria bacterium
Lineage: Bacteria; Pseudomonadati; Pseudomonadota; Alphaproteobacteria
Description: tRNA-OTHER
Rfam family: tRNA
About the family: Transfer RNA (tRNA) molecules are approximately 80 nucleotides in length. Their secondary structure includes four short double-helical elements and three loops (D, anti-codon, and T loops).
Source: RNAcentral